Molecule: non-coding RNA, 30 nt
Filed under: Rattus norvegicus (Norway rat)
Lineage: Eukaryota; Metazoa; Chordata; Mammalia; Rodentia; Muridae
Source: RNAcentral
UGACCUGUCUUGGAUUCCUGUGACAAGGAU